This is a long non-coding RNA of Dama dama (fallow deer), 1134 nucleotides long. RefSeq lists it as uncharacterized. The record is from RefSeq and is a predicted model, not a curated record. Lineage: Eukaryota; Metazoa; Chordata; Mammalia; Artiodactyla; Cervidae. The transcript is spliced from 5 exons.
ACUACUGCGCUGUUUAUUUCGCUUAACCGCGCUCUGCAGGAGGAGCGUACCGGGACGCGCGGAAGAGAAUGGAUUGCCCUAACACUGUGGAAAAGAGCCCAGGAGUAGGAGAUCGGAGUGGCUACCCAUGAAACCGCGGAUGAACGAGAGGACUGCCCAGAGUAAACGUGGUUCCCCAGGCAUCUCGUGCUUUGGCUCGAGCUCCGCCCCAGAGGGAUCUGGAAGAGGAGGCGGGUUUUACCAGCUGCUGUAAGAUAUUAUCAUUACUUUGAGGUCCAUAGUUAACAGCCCACUGUGGUGGUGACUGAUGAAGCCAGUUCUUCAGUGCACUGUCACUUAAGAAAAGAUUUGGAAAGGUCUCGGACAGAGUCAUGCUUCACCUGAAGUCACCAAAUCCCGGCAAAGAUUUAGAGAUCUUACCCAGAGAUUUAUGACAAUAAGCUGCCAUACUCCAACUAUUUGAACGGCUUUCUGGCUGCUGUUUGUCACUCCCUGUGAUGCACUUUAAAAGAUAAAUUGCGUAAGAAAACUUCUAGAUUUCAUGGAGAAAUACUGACGUGAAGAGAAUUAUAAAUGUUUCCCAAGAGGUGAAUGACAUGGUUCUACAUUUGUGUGUGUGUGAGAGUUGGUGAUUUACCCUACUUACCCACCGUUCAUCAUUUUUAUCAACAUAUUCACUGCCAACAGCUACCAUGCAGACAGGCUUGUUCUGUCAACAGUCCACAAACACUGAUCAGGUGAUGCCUGAGCGUCAUGCGCCACUGAAAUCCUGAGGCGACCUAGUGUAACAGGGAUGAGGGGCCAUGCUGGAUCCUCAGAAGACAGAGAUGGGUAGGCUAGUGAACGAAUACAUGAGCAGACCUUUCGGUGACAUCCUACCUGAUGAGACACUUCAGAACUACAUCCUGAUAACUAAGCCCCAAUCCAAGGCAUUCUAGAAGAUCCUUAAUAAAAAUAAUUUAAAAUUUCCUCUACAAUUUGGGAAUAUCUAUUAAAAAGAAAAAGUGUGCAUACCACAUAACCCAGAAAUUCUCUUCCUUCAUUUCUACUGUAGAGGAAAAUCCUCUUCAAAUCACUUCUUGUAUAAAAAGGUGUACAUUGCAGUAUUUUGUGUCAAAAUGAAAAACUAUUGGA